GCGGGGGUUGCCCAGCUUGGCCAAAGGCGAUGGGCUUAGGACCCAUUCUCGUAGGAGUUCGUGCGUUCGAAUCGCACCUCCCGCA
Molecule: transfer RNA, 85 nt
Filed under: Methanolobus vulcani
Lineage: Archaea; Methanobacteriati; Methanobacteriota; Methanomicrobia; Methanosarcinales; Methanosarcinaceae
Also listed under: 3 other names
Description: tRNA_Leu_TAG
Rfam family: tRNA
About the family: Transfer RNA (tRNA) molecules are approximately 80 nucleotides in length. Their secondary structure includes four short double-helical elements and three loops (D, anti-codon, and T loops).
Source: RNAcentral